ACAGCAGUAGCCGCGGUAAUACGUAGGGUGCGAGCGUUAAUCGGAAUUACUGGGCGUAAAGCGUGCGCAGGCGGUUGUGUAAGACAGGUGUGAAAUCCCCGGGCUUAACCUGGGAACUGCGCUUGUGACUGCACAGCUAGAGUACGGUAGAGGGGGAUGGAAUUCCGCGUGUAGCAGUGAAAUGCGUAGAUAUGCGGAGGAACACCGAUGGCGAAGGCAAUCCCCUGGGCCUGCACUGACGCUCAUGCACGAAAGCGUGGGGAGCAAACAGGAUUAGAUACCCCUGUAGUCCCUGUCUCUUAUAC
RNAcentral lists this ribosomal RNA (305 nucleotides) under uncultured bacterium. RNAcentral describes it as "partial 16S ribosomal RNA". It matches the Rfam family "Bacterial small subunit ribosomal RNA", at positions 506 to 807 of the family's 1533-position model. The record is from RNAcentral.